Molecule: long non-coding RNA, 1004 nt
Filed under: Struthio camelus australis
Lineage: Eukaryota; Metazoa; Chordata; Aves; Struthioniformes; Struthionidae
Description: lncRNA (ENSSCUG00000017486.1)
Source: RNAcentral
AGACAGUUAUUUUGGUUUUCCUGCAUAUGGAAGGAGGACUGCACAGCUGAAAUAGGACCUGCAUGUCAUGUCACCUCCUAUAGCCACAAACAAGACCCCUUGUUUCCAGGCUAUUGGGGUAAAAAUAAUCAAAGAGCUGGUGUGUUCAGUGGUGUAACCUCAGUAUCUGAGGAGGGCAGCGAGAGGACAUGUAACCCUGGGAAGCUGGAUAACUCUCAGGUAACCCUGAGAAAGCUGGAGUCUAGGAAGACCUGACUGAAUGAACGAAGGCACUUGGCUUUUCAGAGCACACGUGGACCCUGUGUUUGCAUCAGUGGUGCCUGGGGAAGAGUCUCAGCCCUCUGACCAGCGGAAGAAAAACUGGUGAUGCUCUCUUUGCCUUUCCUGGGGGAGGUGCCAGCAUUGCUAGCAGAAGCAGAGGCUUUAGACCUUGGGAAUGGACCAGGAUACAUCUGCUUCUCUGGGAAGCAGCCCGAACCCUGGUGUUGCUAGAGUAUUUGAAUGGAUGCCCUGAGGGGUCCUCCUCUUUUUGCCACUAGGGAUACGAGAGUUUUUCUGAGGCUGGUGAGGAAUUGUGCGCUGUUAGUAAUAUUGCAAGUUUAGAUGACAAGAAAGGUGAAUGCAUAGGAGAAGUCAGGGAAUGGUGCAUAAAUGGGGAAAAUACAGCAUGAUUAGCAUCUUACAUGUGGGAUAUUUAAUCCUGUGAAUCAGAGAUUCCCAAAUAAUCUGUCCUACAGGCCAGUGCAAAUGAGCAUAUCCCCCAGAGCAGGGUAUUUGGAGUUAGUGUGAUUAACAGACUUCACGAUGGGGAUCUGCAUAGCACAGAUAAGAGGAGCAUAUGUGGGGAAGCACAAAGAAGGGUUUAGAAAGUAAUUACUUUAGAGAAGUCACCUAGUGACUUGGUCUCCCCUCUUUCCCAUCUCCCCUGACCAGAGCUGAAUCACUUUGACCAGCAACAUGCUCUUGUCAAUCCCUGCAGAUCCCUCUUGCAUCCUUGUGAAUCA